RNAcentral lists this long non-coding RNA (3448 nucleotides) under Triticum aestivum (bread wheat). RNAcentral describes it as "long non-coding RNA (TAES_LNC023911)". The record is from RNAcentral. Lineage: Eukaryota; Viridiplantae; Streptophyta; Magnoliopsida; Poales; Poaceae.
UUUUUUUUUGUGAUGCAACUAUAUGGGCUAGCACAAGGAAACUAACCUUCUCAGCCCGACCUCAAAUGAGCUCGGGUGAACAGUAAAAUUGGAAAAAGAAAUUGAACUUUUGGUGACAAACAUUGACAAAAGUUCUAAGAGCUUGCCAAAUUCAUCAUGAAAUCACAUUUGUGAAAAUCGUGGCAAAAGAAAAAAGAAAAUCAGGGCUCCAAAAUACUUUCGAAAGUACCAUUUUCUGAGUAUCAUUUUUUUGCCAUGACUUCCACAAAUAUGAUUUGAUAAAGAAUCUUUACCGACUCUUAGGUAAAAAAAGUCAGUUUAUUUUAUUUUAUUUUACUGUUUAUCCGAGCUCAUUGAACUCGGGCCGAGAAACUCCGCGGCCAGCUCUUUUUAUCACUCGCACCUGCAAGGAACACUAAACCCCAAUCAUUGGAGCCUUAAUAAAUGGGCAAAAUCCAGCCCCAAGCGAACCUGCCCGUCGUUGAUAGUGGUGUGAUGGAUGAAUUGAUGGUGGGUGCACUGCACCACACACCCUGGCUAAUUCCAUGUGUCCCACGGACCUGGGUACCUGACCGGCGUGCAGGCAGCGCUGCCAAACCCCUUACCUCGGCAAUAAAUCCCCUCGAAUUUCCACAUGACGGGAGCCUCAGUGUCUCAGAAGUCAGAAUUAAUUCAGGCAGGCAGGCGGGCAGGCAGGACAGGCAGGGGAGGGGUCCGGCACUCCGGCGUGGUACCGGACGGUGUACGUGCAACUCUGGCCUCUGGCGCUCGUCUCUUGCAAUUUACUUGGCUAUCUGGUUUUAAUCUCUCGAUCGGUCCAUCUCUAGCUUCGCGCUGCAUGCAUGUUAAUUCCCCAGACAUGUCGUGGUACGCCGGUGUAACAUUUAUUUUGUCGGUCAGGGCCGGCCGAUCGAGCGCGCGCGCGCGCGUACGUACCACGCACGUCCUUCCUCCUACGAGUCGUGCAUGCACGCAUGAUUGUUCGUCAAGUGCCCCUGCAUGCGGCCCACGCGCCCGCCCAUGGCCCGGCCAUGGUGCUGCCUUUCAUUUUCGGUUCGGUUACUGUGGUCCAAGCAGUACGUGGCCAUAUAUCCAUGUCAUGACCGUUUUUGCUGUAGCCACUUGCUCGACAAUACCGGCGCCAGUAUGGAGAGGUAUGUACAGUCUUUACAUACGUACGGAGUAUAUCAGAUUGUAAGAACGGUGCGUUUCACUCGCGAGAUUUUCUUUUCAAAAAGAAGAAUAGCACCCGGCCUCUGCAUCGGACUUGCUUCGCUCUCGAGAAAUGAACUUGUCUCAGCAAUUUGUGUGGGUCAUCGGAUGUAUGUUUUGUUUUACCGGACCAGCGAGCUACCGGGGGUUGCUCUGAAGGCGAAGCUUCAAGAGCGUAACGUGGUGGCACUAGUGGAUCGCUAGCUCACUGAGUAUGCAGGGCGGGGCAGCCGGCAGGGGCAUGCAGCCAGCCGGAGGUGGGUACGGCCGGCCGGUGGGGUGUUGCGCGCGGUCCUCACGGCCGGCCGUCCGCGGCGGUCGGUCGAGAUCUACGAGAGAUAUGUGCAGCAGCGCUAGCAGUUGGGCUGUUGGUCGAUGGAUCGGCACGCCCCGGCGUACCAGAACUGCGCGCCCCAGCAAUAAAUAGCCGCUCGCGCGCUAAAAUUAGCCGAAAUACGCCGCGGGCUGUUGAUCAGGUCCGGCCGGUGGGGCGGCAGGCUCCGGCGACACCGGCGGCAUGGCUCUCGCGCGGGCUGGCACAUCAUUCUUCCUGGUACUCCUCGUCCUCCAUCAGCCCACGCGCACGUCACGCGUGGAGAAUGGAGAUGAAGCCAAGGAUCACUCAGUACGUGUAGCUAUCUAGACUAGACUAGGCGCGGCCAUGACCAUGCAAUGGCCAGCCGAACGAUCGGCCCAGCAGCCAGCAGGAAGCCUGGUUCCCGUGCACCAGUGGCGGAGCUUGAACGGAAAAGUUGGGCGAGCCAGACUUAAGAAGAGCACAAUUUUUUUUCAAAUUCUGACUUAUAAGGACAUGUUACAAGCACCCAGGACACAAGAUUGAGCUAGCAUAUAUGUAUAUAUAUAAUAUAUAUGUAUCAAAGUACAGUUCAACCAUGAGUCACUAUUGAUUUAGCUAAUACAAAAGUGUCGAAACAUUAGACAUGGACUUACUCACAUACUAGAAAUCAACUCUCCGAUCCUUCGUGCUUAUAAAAUCUGCAAUGGCAUCUUCAUGACUGUAGUUCUCCAGAAUUCCACCCUCUAUGUGUACUAACAAGUUAUUAGCCAGAUUCUCAUCUUCCAUCUUAUUGCGCAAUCUUGUCUUAAUGAUCUUCAUACUAGAAAAUGCGCGUUCAGCACUGGCUGUAGAAACUGGAAGGGUAACGAGCAACCGAAGUAAUCUGUCAAUCAAAUUGUAGACGGUAUGUCUUCCUGUCUCCACAAGGCAUCGACAUAGAUCAAUUAAGGUAGAUAUGUUUUUCAAAUCAUCAUCCUUGGAAGCAUCUGAAACAAAGUGCUUAAGUUGCUGUUGUAAUCCAUAAAUAUCUUGGGGAAAAUCAGCUGGGUAGUACUUUUUCACCAUCUCACAUAUAUCACUAGCUUUGAAUCCUCUGAAUUUGUUUGUAGGAAUCAAGGUGGCGCUAAUGGUUAGAAGAUCCAUUACCUUAUCAUUGAAUCUUCGGCUUAAUUCAAAUAGUUGAGUGUCCAGUGUUGAGAAGAAAAUUUCCACUCGAAAGUAAUGCUCCUUGGUGAACUGAUCAGGUUGACGACGAGCACGACCACCACGCAUGAUGUAUGUUUCCUCAAAGUCUGGAAUGUCAAUGGAAUGGUUUACACAAAAUUCAACAACCGUAGUAAUAAAUACUUGGUAGCCAUCAUCUGAUCUCAACUCCUGAAGACAUUGUUUUGUUGAGGAAACUAGGCGGACAGCAUUCACAAUAUCUUGUGAUUUCUUUUGUAAAGCUUGGCCAAGCAAUUCUGUUAUUUCAAAGAUUUCCUUCAUCAAACAUAAGAUAAAAAUGAACUCAAAUGAGGACAAGUAGCCAAAAGAAGUGUCUGCAUCUGCACGAAUUGAGCCAAUUGAUCCAUCGGCGGCUAUAUCUUGGAUAACUGAACAAACUGGACCAAACAUCUUCAUAAGGCUAUAAAGUUCUCUAGACGGGGUUGCAUAGGACCUAACAUCAAAUAUGCUCUCCUGACGAUAUCUCUCUGGUCUGGUGGAUAUUGCCAAAUUUGAGGGCGCAAUCCAGGAUCCCGCUGCAAGAACUCAAUACCCCGAAAUGCAACAACUUCAUUUGUUCGAACUCCUCCAUCUUGGUUAUGUUGUUGUUCAGGUUGUUGCUGUUCCAAUUCAAGCAAGGGCAAUACUUGGUCUUCCUCAACUUCAAUUGUAUCAUCUCUUUUCCUUUUAAACACCAAAUCAAUUCUUUUCUGAGUCCGAUUUUCCUUGCCCAUG